AGCAGCCGCGGUAAUUCCAGCUCCAAUAGCGUAUAUUAAAGUUGUUGCAGUUAAAAAGCUCGUAGUUGAAUUUCGGGGUUAGUAGGCUGGUCGUGCCACUGGUAUGUACUGGUCUUACUGACUUCUCCUUUCUGAAGAACUGUAAUGCCAUUAAUUUGGUGUUGCAGGGAAUCAGGACUGUUACUUUGAAAAAAUUAGAGUGUUUAAAGCAGGCUAACGCUUGAAUACAUUAGCAUGGAAUAAUGAAAUAGGACGUUCGAUCCUAUUUUGUUGGUUUCUAGGAUUGACGUAAUGAUUAAUAGGGAUAGUUGGGGGCAUUAGUAUUCAAUUGUCAGAGGUGAAAUUCUUGGAUUUAUUGAAGACUAACUACUGCGAAAGCAUUUGCCAGGGAUGUUUUCAUUAAUCAAGAACGAAAGUUAGGGGAUCGAAGACGAUCAGAUACCGUCGUAGUCUUAACCAUAAACUAUGCCGACUAGGGAUCGGAUGAUGUUAAUUUUUUAAUGACUCAUUCGGCGCCUUACG
RNAcentral lists this ribosomal RNA (522 nucleotides) under uncultured Glomus. RNAcentral's name for it is "SSU rRNA". It matches the Rfam family "Eukaryotic small subunit ribosomal RNA", at positions 569 to 1092 of the family's 1831-position model. Lineage: Eukaryota; Fungi; Glomeromycota; Glomeromycetes; Glomerales; Glomeraceae. The record is from RNAcentral.